This 3250-nucleotide long non-coding RNA is filed under the name Mus musculus (house mouse). Its description in RNAcentral is "long non-coding RNA chr14:63830162-63833412". Lineage: Eukaryota; Metazoa; Chordata; Mammalia; Rodentia; Muridae. The record is from RNAcentral.
AUUUUUAAUUUUCCUGAAGGGCUAUCCUCAGAGUGUCCUGCCUCACUGACCUUAUGUCCACUAUGGGCACUGGUGGUUUGAGAAAUGGGUUAUAGUCAUUCUCUCGGAUUUCAGUGGAGCAAAGUUGUAAUUAAUCUUUAGAUUCCAAGGGUUUACCCUACAGACCAAUGAGCAGGCGUCUCCUGUCCAUGAAAGGUGAAGACCUAGAACAGCAUUUCCAAGCUUCCACUGGUGCCUUGGACCAUCAUUCCUGAUUAUAUGAGGCCAGUGGCACAAACACCCCUUAUGCCCACAGGGCUUCCUUCCUCUCCCCUGUUCUUUCCUCUCCCUGAUGGCCAUGGUCAGUUCUUCCCCAAGAGAGGAUGUGAGUGGACUGUGGCACCCCAAGCUCAGCACAUGCCUCCCUCACCCUUGACUCUGCCAACACUAACCAUGAUCUCCACUAAGCAGAGCCAGUCAGCUGAACUUUCUAAACAUUCAGCUUCAUAGCCAUCUCUGACAACCAAACUCAGCACCUGAGACAGUGGAAAGGAGUCAGUUUCUAGCCCACAUUUCAAUGAAAUAUGCAUGGCUUAGAAGCAGCUUGGCCUGGGCAUCAGGAAGGGCUUAGCGGUAGGAUCCAUGUGUCCUUCGGUCACAUGGAUAGUGCACACGUAUUGCUAGUGUUUACCUUGAGAAGGAAUGGGGAGAAGCACACCAGGGGUGUGCAUUAUGCAAUUGAUGUACCCCCUUUGGAGGAAGACUAGAGAAGCCAUUUUUUGUCGAUGUUAAUACACGCCAAACACAGCCCAGGCCUGCCAUGUAGUUAAAGCAGAGAGGAAGGGAAGAUCUCAAAUGAUAAUCCAGACCUACAGGCUGGAAAUGAAUUUCAACUUGUCACCAUAGGCCAGCAUGCAGACCCCCAGUGGGAAAUCAUUAAAUGUGAGCUCUGUGACCUUUGGCCAAUUAUUAGCCUUCCUACUUAUCAAUUUUCUUCCUUCCAAAAAGGUUUGUUUCUAUUUUAAAAUACUCAAGACACCUGACUCAGAAACUGAACAUCCUGUAGAGCAGAGUAGAAUCUAACAAGUACACAGAAGUGUGGGCAGAAUCUAGCCCAUUCCACGGGAGGGAGCACAUGAUCUUGGAGAUGAAGAAAGACUUAGAGGAGGCAGCUUCCUAGCUGAGCCUGUCACUGGUUUCCAUCACAGUGCCCUGGCCUACAGCCCCUCAGUUCUGGUGGAUUCCACUUUUCACCCAGUGUCACCUAGGAGAUACAGUGAUGAUGACAAAGUUGGAUUCUUCUUUCUUGCUGCUACCUCCAGUGGCCAGGAGCAGUAGCAACAGCAGAGACAGUGCAGAUAUGAGCUUUCAGACACCCAUUGUCAUAAUCAGGAGUACUUGGGGCCAUAGGCAGAGGAAAGGCAAGGGGAAAAGCUUGAGGUUAGUUCCCAUCCAGAAAGACGUUCUAGAAACCCCAGGGAAGAGAAAAGGGAACAGAGAUCAUGUCACACAUGGCAGACAGACAGACUUCCAGUGCCAUGGCUAUAAUGGAAGCAAAUGAUGUGGGAGGAGUCUCAGGUGAAGAGUGAGCAGGUGACUUUUUUUUCUCCAUCCAGGAGGCUAUUGGAGAUUUUCCUUGUAAAUGGAGGACCUUUCUGUAGAAGGCUCUUGUUUGUCCCUUGCUGCUUGUGCCCCAAGAUGGGUUUGGAUAUACAGCUGGUAACACAGAAAGCAGCAGCCACCACUUACUUACCACCUACAGAAAUGAAAUUGCCACUUGAGGCUCAGCUAAGCACUAGAAUUUGCAAACCAUGAAGGCUAAACGUGCAGCUGGAGGAAGCAGAAGGAAAAUCAAAAACCACAGUUACAUCAGUGAGCUGCAGGGAUGGACUGCCAUGCCAUACUCCCAAUGUCACCAGCCAGCUGAGAGGUCCCUGGGCAGAGAUUGGUCCCAGGUCUCUCUAGCUAUCACCAUGGGCUUAGAUAGUAGAGAAAAAAAAAAAGACUUGUAGCCUGUGGGACCCACCAGCAUGGCCAGUGGACUCUUCUAUUCUAACACAGACUUAGAGCCAGGCAAAGACAGCCAUCAGUGAGGGCUCUGUACUGUGCCCCUGCAUCCACUCUCCAGUCACAAUGGAAGUACUCGUGCCAACCAGGAGUGUUACUUCCACCUGCAGUCAGAAACAGAAGGGGUUUACAGGGCCAGCAAGUACACUAAGGGAAAUUAAAAGGUCACUGUGUCCAUUCAGCAACACCUUCCUGAGUUUCCAGUGGCCUAUAGAAUCCUUGCUGUUCCAGAUGGCCAGUGAUGUCUAUUUUCUUAACCAGACUCUCAGGAUGGAGUAAUGUGGAUUCUAAGUCAAUAUGCAUGGUCCUCAGUUAUGUAGACACGUGUGGACGUCUAUACAUCUUUGGCAAUCUCCAUUUGGUGCUAUUUGUGGCUAACUGGAUGUGGAUGUAAUAGGCCUUCCCCACUCCUUCUCCUUCCCUCCCUCCCUCCCUUCCUUCUUAAUUAAUUAAAACCAAGUAACCAUGACACAUAGAUUUGCAUGCUCCCCCCUUUAAACAGGGGUUCGCUUCCAGUGUCUGAGGAUUUCCCUUUUAAAAUUUCAGUGAUCAGAAAUGUUUUUCUUUUCUAUUAGUCACUGGAAAGGAUGAUGUCAGGCUGUCAGGCUCCUGGCGCCUCUCUCUCGGCGAGCUGGGAUUGGAUGAUGUCCAUGGGAUGAGAUCUUUUGACUCAGAGGCUUUAAGGUCCUUGCUAAAUUUGAACAACCUGUCUGUGCCCCACCAUGGUGAGAUCAGAGCCGUAACAACACAAGAUUUAACUUCUUGAAACCCGUGGUGCCUUUUCUUGUGGUGCUUUUCCGUCAUGUAACUCCACUCAAGGUGGCCACUUGCAGCAAACAACAGUACCAGGACUUCUCUAUAGUCUUGUGUGUCAGUGUAGUCAGAGACGUGAGCGUAUACACGUGUCAGUCAACAUGGAUAGAGAUGUACCACUGUGGUUCUAUAAUUAUGUACUUGAGGUUCUGAUGCAGCUUUGGUGGGGGUUGAUCAUUCCUCUACAAGACUCUAAUGCUCCACUAGACCUUCUGGCUCUCUGCAGAGUAAUGAUCUUGGGGAUGGACGCUGACAGGUGAGAGGAGCUACCUGUCCUCCUGUCCCUGAGAUGAGCUCUCUUCCUUUGUGAAAGUUGCUGUCUCCGUGACACAGAACACUUGAUAAAGGAGCACAAGGCAGCUUCUUUUAAACUUCCUUUGGUGCUGAUAUU